UACGUAGGGGCUAGCGUUAUCCGGAAUUACUGGGCGUAAAGGGUGCGUAGGCGGUCUUUCAAGCCAGAAGUGAAAGGCUACGGCUCAACCGUAGUAAGCUUUUGGAACUGUAAGACUUGAGUGCAGGAGAGGAGAGUGGAAUUCCCAGUGUAGCGGUGAAAUGCGUAGAGAUUGGGAGGAACACCAGUGGCGAAGGCGACUUACUGGGCCGUAACUGACGUUGAGGCGCGAAAGCGUGGGGAGCGAACAGGAUUAGAUACCCUGGUAGUCCCUGAGCGGG
RNAcentral lists this ribosomal RNA (280 nucleotides) under uncultured prokaryote. RNAcentral's name for it is "partial 16S ribosomal RNA". It matches the Rfam family "Bacterial small subunit ribosomal RNA", at positions 524 to 803 of the family's 1533-position model. The record is from RNAcentral.